GCCGAUGUAGCUCAGUGGUAGAGCAAUUGAUUCGUAAUCAAUAGGUCGUCGGUUCAACUCCGAUCAUCGGCUCCA
This 75-nucleotide transfer RNA is filed under the name candidate division TM6 bacterium RIFCSPHIGHO2_12_FULL_36_22. Its description in RNAcentral is "tRNA-Thr". It matches the Rfam family "tRNA". Rfam says of the family: Transfer RNA (tRNA) molecules are approximately 80 nucleotides in length. Their secondary structure includes four short double-helical elements and three loops (D, anti-codon, and T loops). The record is from RNAcentral.